Molecule: ribosomal RNA, 915 nt
Filed under: Streptomyces sp. CD13I-S9
Lineage: Bacteria; Bacillati; Actinomycetota; Actinomycetes; Kitasatosporales; Streptomycetaceae
Description: bacterial SSU rRNA
Rfam family: Bacterial small subunit ribosomal RNA
Source: RNAcentral
UGCGAAUCGAACGAUGAAGCCCUUCGGGGUGGAUUAGUGGCGAACGGGUGAGUAACACGUGGGCAAUCUGCCCUUCACUCUGGGACAAGCCCUGGAAACGGGGUCUAAUACCGGAUAAUACUCCUGCCUGCAUGGGCGGGGGUUAAAAGCUCCGGCGGUGAAGGAUGAGCCCGCGGCCUAUCAGCUUGUUGGUGGGGUAAUGGCCCACCAAGGCGACGACGGGUAGCCGGCCUGAGAGGGCGACCGGCCACACUGGGACUGAGACACGGCCCAGACUCCUACGGGAGGCAGCAGUGGGGAAUAUUGCACAAUGGGCGAAAGCCUGAUGCAGCGACGCCGCGUGAGGGAUGACGGCCUUCGGGUUGUAAACCUCUUUCAGCAGGGAAGAAGCGAAAGUGACGGUACCUGCAGAAGAAGCGCCGGCUAACUACGUGCCAGCAGCCGCGGUAAUACGUAGGGCGCAAGCGUUGUCCGGAAUUAUUGGGCGUAAAGAGCUCGUAGGCGGCUUGUCACGUCGGAUGUGAAAGCCCGAGGCUUAACCUCGGGUCUGCAUUCGAUACGGGCUAGCUAGAGUGUGGUAGGGGAGAUCGGAAUUCCUGGUGUAGCGGUGAAAUGCGCAGAUAUCAGGAGGAACACCGGUGGCGAAGGCGGAUCUCUGGGCCAUUACUGACGCUGAGGAGCGAAAGCGUGGGGAGCGAACAGGAUUAGAUACCCUGGUAGUCCACGCCGUAAACGUUGGGAACUAGGUGUUGGCGACAUUCCACGUCGUCGGUGCCGCAGCUAACGCAUUAAGUUCCCCGCCUGGGGAGUACGGCCGCAAGGCUAAAACUCAAAGGAAUUGACNGGGGCCCGCACMAGCAGCGGAGCAUGUGGCUUAWUUYCGACGCAACGCGAAGAACCUUACCAAGGCUUGAC